UACGAAGGGGGCUAGCGUUGCUCGGAAUCACUGGGCGUAAAGCGCACGUAGGCGGAUCGUUAAGUCGGGGGUGAAAUCCUGGAGCUCAACUCCAGAACUGCCUUUGAUACUGAAGAUCUUGAGUUCGGGAGAGGUGAGUGGAACUGCGAGUGUAGAGGUGAAAUUCGUAGAUAUUCGCAAGAACACCAGUGGCGAAGGCGGCUCACUGGCCCGAUACUGACGCUGAGGCACGAAAGCGUGGGGAGCAAACAGG
Molecule: ribosomal RNA, 253 nt
Filed under: uncultured bacterium
Lineage: Bacteria
Description: partial 16S ribosomal RNA
Rfam family: Bacterial small subunit ribosomal RNA
Source: RNAcentral